Gallus gallus (chicken) is the source of this 1922-nucleotide long non-coding RNA. Lineage: Eukaryota; Metazoa; Chordata; Aves; Galliformes; Phasianidae. The record is from Ensembl.
AUUUUAUACAGGCAACUCUCAUCUGUUGUACAAGUACUUAAAGAGAGCUUGUGAAGAAGGUGAAUUUAGGAGCAAUGAGUCUGAAAUGAUCUCCAUAAAGAUCCAGAUCCCUGUGAGAGAGACGGAGAAACUGCAGCAUGCUUUUCUUGAUUCUCUUCACAUCUUCUGCUUCCCAAUGUGUGUGUGUGCAAGCUCUGUAGGCAAAUGAAGAAUAGUCAUCUGGCAGAAUCAGCAAGUCAUUGGGCCCACCUGUGCAUCUCCUGAAGGCAAAAUGCUGAUCUGGUGUAAGUCUUGUCUGACUGUCUUUGAAGGAUGGCUACUAUAUUACAUUGAAAUAAAAGCAGUCUAGAUGAUCCUUUGCUGGAGCUGGCUGGACACAGCAGAAGAACUGUUAGAAAAAUUGCUUUUCUGAAUCCUUCUAGAGGAAUCUAGAAGUGAUGGAGACACCAACGUGGUCAAAGCAUGUGCUGCAUUUUCACCAGUGUAAAUCAGAAAAACACCACCCAUGGUUUGAGCUGCAUAGAUUUACACCAGGUGAAGCACUGGGACCUGGAGGUAUUGAGUUGCCCAGGGUCACGUGGGUUGUGGCAAAGAGCACCUGAGAAGAGAGGAUUACAGAUCCUGGGGCCCAGAUUUACUCCUGACAGAGACCAGCUGAAGAAAACAUUGUCAAAUGCAAGCAGGGAUGAACUCGCACUGUCUCUGAUACAAAUGUUCACAGGAGGAUGUUGCAAGGAUGGUCUUAGCUCAGCACUCAACCUGGGAGUGACAAGGGAAAAUGUGGGGGGUUACAGGAGCAAUUGGGUGGCGAUGUUGAUAGGGACAUGGCAAGUUACCUUUUGCUCAAAUUCUUGUUGAUCCAGUUCCAGAGACAAUUCUUACUCAAUUUCUAUUUCAGAAAAGCUCAUCCGUGAACUAAGGAGCUUGUAUACACGUGUUUAUCUCGUUAUUGCCUUGCCAGUGGAAUAGACUCUUUCUGUCAUUGACCCCAUUGGAAGACAUUCCUUGGUGUGGUUGGUGGGAUGAACUUCCAUAAGCAUUCUCUUGCUUGCAGCUCUCAAUUCAAACCAAAAAGCCUCUAGUGGAAAAAGUUGAACGUGACUGGGUGUGCUCCAGCUGACGUGGGCUGGGGGCUGUUCACACUGGCAACAGAGUUGGCAAACUGAUGAGAGAUGAGCGAAUAACAUCCAAUCCCAGAGCUGUGUGAAGCUGCUUGGGGCGAGGGGUUGGCUGGAGGAAGGCAUAUGAUUAAGUGUGAUAUUAAAGCUGAAUGGAAGUGAAGGGUCUGACUGCUGAUUCCACAGAAGCACUGAAGAAAGAGUGAAUUCUCUAUAAGAUUUCCUGAGAGGUUUUUUGUUCCCCAGCAGGAAGGCUGCAGGACAUCUCAGUUAAAGGCUGGCCUAUCUGCAGAGACCAUGUGUGAUGGCUUUCCCAGAGCCAACGUCUGUUUCCCCCCCCAACUCCCCAGUAGCUUCCUGCCAGAGCUCCUUGCCUCCAAGGAUGUUGGCUUGGCAGGUUGCCUUGGUUCUCCCUGGAUCAUGGGAUCACUGGGUGAGUCAAUUUGGAAAGGUCUUCAGGAGGUCUCUGUCCAGCCUCCUGCUUCACACAUGAGCUCAUGCAGGGUUUCUCAGGGCUGUACUUGGGUUGUUGGAUAUUUACAUGUAUUAUAGCAGUAGAGACUGCUGCUCCUGUGGUCUGUUGUUUGAUUUGUGCUCUCUGGUUCCUUGGUUGGCCAAAGCCAAAGAUGGCUGACUGUCAAAUGCAGCAUCUUCUAGAUUGCUCAGGUAGGAGAAGCUGUGUUACCAAACUAAGCUGCCCCCAAGUUUCACGUUCAUUCUCCCCAGCAUGAGCUGUUUUGCAUCUUUCUCCCUCCUCCUUUCCCCUCUAACAAAGCUUUCUGUUUCUGUCUUACUGUCUUUGUG